GGGGGUGUAGCUCAGUGGAAGAGCGUCUGCUUUGCAUGCCGAAGGUCCCAGGUUCAGCCCCAGACAUCUCCA
Non-coding RNA from Podarcis lilfordi (Lilford's wall lizard), 72 nucleotides. NCBI's taxonomy places the organism in Eukaryota, Metazoa, Chordata, Lepidosauria, Squamata, Lacertidae. The record is from the annotation of a GenBank genome assembly.